RNAcentral lists this ribosomal RNA (465 nucleotides) under uncultured bacterium. Its description in RNAcentral is "partial 16S ribosomal RNA". It matches the Rfam family "Bacterial small subunit ribosomal RNA", at positions 28 to 507 of the family's 1533-position model. The record is from RNAcentral.
GACGAACGCUGGCGGCGUGCUUAACACAUGCAAGUCGAACGGAAAGGCCCCUUUGUUGGUACUCUAGUGGCGAACGGGUGAGUAACACGUGAGUAACCUGCCCUUGACUUCGGGAUAACUUCAGGAAACUGGGGCUAAUACCGGAUAGGAAUCCUUGCUUCAUGGUGGUGGUUGGAAAGCUUCGGCGGUUUUGGAUGGACUCUCUGCUUAUCAGCUUGUUGGUUGGGUUGUGGGUUACCAAGGCUUUGAGGGGAAGCGGGCCUGGGUGGGCGACCGGCCACAGAGGAACUGACGUGAGGCAGAGGCUCCGACGGGAGGCAGAAGGGGGGAAUAUUGCACGAGGGGCGGAAGCCUGGUGCAGCAACGCCGCGUGAGGGAUGACGGCCUUCGGGUUGAAAAACGCUUUCAGCAGUGGCGAAGCUUGUGGUGACGGUACCUACAGAAGAAGCACCGGCUAACUACGUG